UACAGAGGUCUCGAGCGUUAAUCGGAGUCACUGGGCUUAAAGGGUGCGUAGGCGGCGCUGCAAGUGCCUUGUGAAAUCCCACGGCUCAACCGUGGAAUUGCUCGGUAGACUGCAGCGCUUGAGGUUGGUAGGGGUCGCCGGAACUCUAGGUGGAGCGGUGAAAUGCGUAGAUAUCUAGAGGAACGCCGAAGGUGAAGACAGGCGACUGGGCCAAUUCUGACGCUGAGGCACGAAAGCGUGGGGAG
RNAcentral lists this ribosomal RNA (245 nucleotides) under uncultured bacterium. RNAcentral's name for it is "partial 16S ribosomal RNA". It matches the Rfam family "Bacterial small subunit ribosomal RNA", at positions 524 to 768 of the family's 1533-position model. The record is from RNAcentral.